This 469-nucleotide ribosomal RNA is filed under the name uncultured bacterium. Its description in RNAcentral is "partial 16S ribosomal RNA". It matches the Rfam family "Bacterial small subunit ribosomal RNA", at positions 27 to 507 of the family's 1533-position model. The record is from RNAcentral.
GGACGAACGCUGGCGGCGUGCUUAACACAUGCAAGUCGAACGGAAAGGCCCUGCUUUUGUGGGGUGCUCGAGUGGCGAACGGGUGAGUAACACGUGAGUAACCUGCCCUUGACUUUGGGAUAACUUCAGGAAACUGGGGCUAAUACCGGAUUGGAGCUCCUGCUGCAUGGUGGGGGUUGGAAAGUUUCGGCGGUUGGGGAUGGACUCGCGGCUUAUCAGCUUGUUGGUGGGGUAGUGGCUUACCAAGGCUUUGACGGGUAGCCGGCCUGAGAGGGUGACCGGCCACAUUGGGACUGAGAUACGGCCCAGACUCCUACGGGAGGCAGCAGUGGGGAAUAUUGCACAAUGGGCGGAAGCCUGAUGCAGCAACGCCGCGUGCGGGAUGACGGCCUUCGGGUUGUAAACCGCUUUCGCCUGUGACGAAGCGUGAGUGACGGUAAUGGGUAAAGAAGCACCGGCUAACUACGUG